GGCAUGGUGGCUUAGUGGUUAAGAUGUUUGCCUUGCACCUCCAAGGUUGGGGGUGUUGAAUCCCACCUCUGCCU
Molecule: non-coding RNA, 74 nt
Organism: Ameiurus melas (black bullhead)
Lineage: Eukaryota; Metazoa; Chordata; Actinopteri; Siluriformes; Ictaluridae
Source: the annotation of a GenBank genome assembly